GACGAACGCUGGCGGCGUGCUUAACACAUGCAAGUCGAACGGAAAGGCCCUUCGGGGUACUCGAGUGGCGAACGGGUGAGUAACACGUGGGUGAUCUGCCCUGCACUUUGGGAUAAGCCUGGGAAACUGGGGCUAAUACCGAAUAUGAACAUCGGCUUCAUGGUCGGUGGUGGAAAGCUUUUGCGGUGUGGGAUGGGCCCGCGGCCUAUCAGCUUGUUGGUGGGGUAAUGGCCUACCAAGGCGACGACGGGUAGCCGGCCUGAGAGGGUGACCGGCCACACUGGGACUGAGAUACGGCCCAGACUCCUACGGGAGGCAGCAGUGGGGAAUAUUGCACAAUGGGCGCAAGCCUGAUGCAGCGACGCCGCGUGAGGGAUGACGGCCUUCGGGUUGUAAACCUCUUUCAGCACAGACGAAGCGCAAGUGACGGUAUGUGCAGAAGAAGGACCGGCCAACUACGUG
This 462-nucleotide ribosomal RNA is filed under the name uncultured bacterium. RNAcentral's name for it is "partial 16S ribosomal RNA". It matches the Rfam family "Bacterial small subunit ribosomal RNA", at positions 28 to 507 of the family's 1533-position model. The record is from RNAcentral.